RNAcentral lists this ribosomal RNA (505 nucleotides) under uncultured bacterium. RNAcentral describes it as "bacterial SSU rRNA". It matches the Rfam family "Bacterial small subunit ribosomal RNA", at positions 26 to 507 of the family's 1533-position model. The record is from RNAcentral.
CGUUAGAGCGAACGUUAGCGGCGCGCCUAACACAUGCAAGUCGCACGAGAAACGGAGCAAUCCGCGGUACAGUGGCGCACGGGUGAGUAACACGUGGAUGACCUUCCCUGGAGUGGUGGAUAACCUGCCGAAAGGCGGGCUAAUACAGCAUGGGACCACGACGCUUUGGCGAUGUGGUGAAAGCGGGCCUCUAUAUAUAAGCUCGCGCUCCGGGACGGGUCCGCGUCCCAUCAGCUAGUUGGUGAGGUAACGGCUCACCAAGGCUUCGACGGGUAGCUGGUCUGAGAGGAUGGCCAGCCACACUGGAACUGAGACACGGUCCAGACUCCUACGGGAGGCAGCAGUGGGGAAUCUUGCGCAAUGGGCGAAAGCCUGACGCAGCGACGCCGCGUGGGCGAAGAAGGCCUUCGGGUUGUAAAGCCCUGUGGGGGAGAACGAACCGUACGGGGGCGAACACCCUCCGUGCCUGACGGUACUCCUUUAGCAAGCAUCGGCUAACUCUGUG